GACGAACCGAGCGAACGUUGUUCGGAAUAACUGGGCUUAAAGGGCGCGUAGGCGGGCCGCCAAGUUCGAGGUGAAAUCCUCCGGCUCAACCGGAGAACUGCCUCGAAUACUGGAGGCCUCGAGGCGGGUAGGGGCACGCGGAACUGUGGGUGGAGCGGUGAAAUGCGUUGAUAUCCACAGGAACUCCGGUGGCGAAGGCGGCGUGCUGGACAGAUACCGACGCUGAGGCACGAAAGCUAGGGGAGCAAACAGG
Molecule: ribosomal RNA, 253 nt
Filed under: uncultured bacterium
Lineage: Bacteria
Description: partial 16S ribosomal RNA
Rfam family: Bacterial small subunit ribosomal RNA
Source: RNAcentral